RNAcentral lists this long non-coding RNA (498 nucleotides) under Medicago truncatula (barrel medic). RNAcentral's name for it is "lncRNA gene46403". Lineage: Eukaryota; Viridiplantae; Streptophyta; Magnoliopsida; Fabales; Fabaceae. The record is from RNAcentral.
GUGGAUUAUAUCGAGUAUGAACAUCAUAAUUUGAAAUACAAUAGUCAAUUAGUUAAAUUUAAAGGUCUGACGAACGAAUAUUGAAGUGUGAAAUAUAUCAUAAAUGUUUGAACAAUAUAAUUUCAAAUACAAUUAUUCAUUUUUAGAAGUACCAUAUAAGUAGCUUUGAAUUUAAUUUAUACUAUUAAAUGCAUUCACAAAUCCCCCUUUUGCAGACUGGAAAUUUUGGACUAUAACAGAGAAAACUGCGACAAUCUUUACUAGAAUCACAUGAAGUAAGCUCUAUGAUGCCAAAUAAUAAAAAAUAAUUGUUAGUAAUAUGCAAUGAAACAUUGUGUAUAAGAUUAAGUAGAGAAAUUUUUAUUCAAAAAAAAAAAAAAUUAAGUAGAGAAAUUUGAUUUAUUUACUUUUUGUAAAAAUAAACUCACUGCCGGUUGCCACAUUGAACAUGAAAAGAUAAAUAAUCAUUACAUAAACAAACUUCAUUAUUUCACCCAU